CUUUUCUAGGGCCGCUCCCUCGGCAUAUUGAGGCUCCCAGGCUAGGGGUCGAAUCGGAGCUGUAGCCUCCGGCCUACACCAGAGCCAUAGCAACUCGGGAUCUGAGCCGUGUCUGCAACCUAUACUAGAGCUCACGGCAAAGCCAGAUCCUUAACCCACUGAGCAAGGCCAGGGAUCAAACCUACAACCUCAUGGUUCCUAGUCGGAUUCAUUAACCACUGUGCCACAACGGGAACUCCCAGGUGUGGCCCUUUAAAAAAAAGAAAAUAAUACAUAAAAAUUUAAAAGGGAGGAGGGCCAUACGAAGAAUAUAAGAAAGACUUCACAAGUGUGGGCUCUUCUCAUCUUUUGAACCAGGUAUUAAUUAGGUUCAGGCAAGCCUAAGAGAUUCCCAUUGUCCUGAGGCUCAGCAGGCAAAGCGUAACUCUUGUUCAUGGGGGCAGAGCAAAUCCUUACAGCAAGGACGUGCUCCCACACGGCGGAGAGAAGACUGCGCUUGGAAUCAGCUUUAAACCCUCGCUUCUCGACGACCUCGCUGCCCGACUUCGGACGACGCCCCUGUACACGGUGUGGUCACCUAACUGUACAAGGAGCUGCCGCGAGGCUAAGAGGAGAGGAUGUGAGAAAGGAGAUCAAACCGCUUAAGGUCCUCAAGGAGGCUCCACUCCUGAGCUCCAGUGGACCACAGCUAGCGACACAGCCAUGGUUAAGGAAGAAGCCAAGAGGCAUCUUUAGAAUGACACUGCGAAGGCACAACAGGCAUAUUGGCUCCCGACGGAGUUCUCUUAGAGAGUCCAGUGAAAGCGGCCAAGGGGGAAAGAAAAGGCAGCAAAGCCAAGGCCCCCCGCCCCAAGCUCCAGUCACCUGACAUCCCCAGGGAAGCUGGAACCAGCUAGAGGGUGCAGCCCAGGUGGGAGGUCAGCCUGCCUCUCUUGGUAACGUUCCUCUGCAGUCAGUCUCUGCACAGCGCUGACCUCUGCAGCCAGAUGUGGCGUUUGAGAACCUAACUGUUCCCAAGAUCCCCGAAUCAAACUGAGUCACUCUAAAGACCACUGGGCAUUUACAUGGUAAGGGGAAAGCAGAAACAGGGGAUCUUGCUUUUGGGGGGGGGAACACACCCGCAGCAUAUGGAGGUUCCCAGGCUAGGGCAAAAAAAAAAAAAAAAAAAAAAAAAAGAGCAGCCCAUCUGUAAUUCUGACUUACUCUGAGAAGAUUGUCUGAAUAAAAGAGAUGGUGAACCAGGGAAACCAGCUAGUUUCUGUCGUUCUUAGGGACAGGUCAAGGUUGGUCAUUGCCAAAGACAACAGGGUGAGCCAAAGGGGUCGGUUUUUAAGGUGUCUUUUAAGAAAAUCCGAAGAAACCGGAAUUGGGCUGCAGCCUUCCUGAUGUGUAAUUCAACAGGUGGGGCAUCAGGUGCAGUCCACGGACCCGUCUCACGUAGCAGAGGGCCUGUCUUUCCCAACCACAGAACACAGGUGGGGCACAAGCUGGCCCUGCAGACCCCGUCCACGCAGACCCCGACGGCAUGGACCGCAUCCACCAUCAUGAGCACAAUCACUGGUAACCGGCAAUGAGCAAGGCAAAGGAGCCUGGACCCUCUAGAACAUAAAAGCGAUUAACAUCCUGAAAUGCAAGAUCAGGAACAGCCAGAGAUUGAGAAAGGCGGGGGAGGGGAAAAGCGGGUGUAUUCUCUCCUGAUCUGGAGCAAAAAAGGCUAGGUCUCUCUUUCCCUUCUCUCUUCCUUCCUGCCAUCCCAGGUGGGAGAGGGCCUUUCCCUUCUGGUCUGGAACCGAGGCUGAGGC
This 1802-nucleotide long non-coding RNA is filed under the name Sus scrofa (pig). Its description in RNAcentral is "lncRNA (ENSSSCG00060017492.1)". The record is from RNAcentral. Lineage: Eukaryota; Metazoa; Chordata; Mammalia; Artiodactyla; Suidae.